Molecule: ribosomal RNA, 465 nt
Filed under: uncultured bacterium
Lineage: Bacteria
Description: partial 16S ribosomal RNA
Rfam family: Bacterial small subunit ribosomal RNA
Source: RNAcentral
GGUGAACGCUGGCGGCGUGCUUAACACAUGCAAGUCGAACGGAAAGGCUCCUGCUUGCAGGGGUACUCGAGUGGCGAACGGGUGAGUGACACGUGGGUGAUCUGACCUGCACUUCGGGAGAAGCCUGGGAAACUGGGUCUAAUACCGGAUAGGACGAUGGUUUCGAUGCCAUUGUGGAAAGUUUUUCGGUGUGGGAUGAGCUCGCGGCCUAUCAGCUUGUUGGUGGGGUAAUGGCCUACCAAGGCGUCGACGGGUAGCCGGCCGGAGAGGGUGUACGGCCACAUUGGGACUGAGAUACGGACCAGACUCCUACGGGAGGCAGCAGUGGGGAAUAUUGCACAAUGGGCGCAAGCCUGAUGCAGCGACGCCGCGUGGGGGAUGACGGCCUUCGGGUUGUAAACUCCUUUCGCUAGGGACGAAGCGCAAGUGACGGUACCUGGAGAAGAAGCACCGGCUAACUACGUG